GUCGAGAAUCUUCCGCAAUGCGCGAAAGUCUGACGCAGCGACGCCGCGUGAGUGAUGAAGGCCUUAGGGUCGUAAAGCUCUGUUGAAUGGGAAGAAAAAAAUGACGGUACCAUUCGAGGAAGGACCGGCUAACUUCGUGCCAGCAGCCGCGGUAAUACGAGGGGUCCUAGCGUUGUUCGGAAUCAUUGGGCGUAAAGGGUGUGUAGGUGGCCAUGUAAGUCAGGUGUGAAAGCCCCGGGCUCAACCCGGGAAGUGCACUUGAUACUGCGUGGCUUGAGUACCGAAGAGGGUAGUGGAAUUCCAGGUGUAGUGGUGAAAUACGUAGAUAUCUGGAGGAACACCGGUGGCGAAGGCGGCUACCUGGUCGAGUACUGACACUGAGACACGAAAGCAUGGGGAUCAAACAGGAUUAGAUACCCGGGUAGUCC
RNAcentral lists this ribosomal RNA (428 nucleotides) under uncultured bacterium. RNAcentral's name for it is "partial 16S ribosomal RNA". It matches the Rfam family "Bacterial small subunit ribosomal RNA", at positions 354 to 796 of the family's 1533-position model. The record is from RNAcentral.